This 427-nucleotide ribosomal RNA is filed under the name uncultured eukaryote. RNAcentral's name for it is "bacterial SSU rRNA". It matches the Rfam family "Eukaryotic small subunit ribosomal RNA", at positions 592 to 1014 of the family's 1831-position model. The record is from RNAcentral.
CAAUAGCGUAUAUUAAAGUUGUUGCAGUUAAAAAGCUCGUAGUCGGAUUUCUGGCUCGGAAGUGCGGUCCGUUUGACUUUGUCGAAUGUGAACCAGCAUCUUCCGGCCAUCCUCGUGGAGAGCUGUUCUGGGCUUCAUUGUUUGGGGCAUGCAAUCCACGUCAUUUACUGUGAACAAAUUAGAGUGUUCAAAGCAGGCUUACGCCACUGAAUACAUUAGCAUGGAAUAAUAAGAUAGGACCUUCGGUUCUAUUUGUUGUUUCUAGUAGCUCAGGGUAAUGAUUAAUAGGGAUAGUUGGGGGCUAUUCGUAUUAACUGUCAGAGGUGAAAUUCUUGGAUUUGUUAAGACGGACUAACUGCGAAGACAUUGUCCAAGGAUGUUUUCAUUGAUCAAGAACGAAAGUUAGGGGAUCGAAGACGAUCAGAUA